ACGAACGCUGGCGGCAGGCCUAACCCAUGCAAGUCGCGCGAGGACUUCGGUUCUAGCGGCGGACGGGUGAGUAACGCGUGGGAAUGUGCCCUUCUCUACGGAAUAGCCCUGGGAAACUGGGAGUAAUACCGUAUACGCCCUAUUGGGGAAAGAUUUAUCGGAGAAGGAUCAGCCCGCGUUGGAUUAGGUAGUUGGUGGGGUAAUGGCCUACCAAGCCGACGAUCCAUAGCUGGUUUGAGAGGAUGAUCAGCCACACUGGGACUGAGACACGGCCCAGACUCCUACGGGAGGCAGCAGUGGGGAAUCUUAGACAAUGGGGGCAACCCUGAUCUAGCCAUGCCGCGUGAGUGAUGAAGGCCUUAGGGUUGUAAAGCUCUUUCAGCUGGGAAGAUAAUGACGGUACCAGCAGAAGAAGCCCCGGCUAACUCCGUG
Molecule: ribosomal RNA, 432 nt
Filed under: uncultured bacterium
Lineage: Bacteria
Description: partial 16S ribosomal RNA
Rfam family: Bacterial small subunit ribosomal RNA
Source: RNAcentral